UAGUGGCGACGGGUGAGUAACACGUGGGCAAUCUGCCCUUCACUCUGGGACAAGCCCUGGAAACGGGGUCUAAUACCGGAUAACACUCCUCCCUGCAUGGGGAGGGGUUAAAAGCUCCGGCGGUGAAGGAUGAGCCCGCGGCCUAUCAGCUUGUUGGUGGGGUAAUGGCCUACCAAGGCGACGACGGGUAGCCGGCCUGAGAGGGCGACCGGCCACACUGGGACUGAGACACGGCCCAGACUCCUACGGGAGGCAGCAGUGGGGAAUAUUGCACAAUGGGCGAAAGCCUGAUGCAGCGACGCCGCGUGAGGGAUGACGGCCUUCGGGUUGUAAACCUCUUUCAGCAGGGAAGAAGCACAGUGAUUUUUCACCGCGUGACAGUACCUGCCGAAGAACCGCCGGCUAACUACGUGCCAACAGCCGCGGUAAUACGUAUGGCGCAAGCGUUGUCCGGAAUUAUUGGGCGUAAAGAGCUCGUAGGCGGCUUGUCACGUCGGAUGUGAAAGCCCGGGGCUUAACCCCGGGUCUGCAUUCGAUACGGGCAGGCUAGAGUGUGGUAUGGGAGAUCGGAAUUCCUGGUGUAGCGGUGAAAUGCGCAGAUAUCAGGAGGAACACCGGUGGCGAAGGCGGAUCUCUGGGCCAUUACUGACGCUGAGGAGCGAAAGCGUGGGGAGCGA
RNAcentral lists this ribosomal RNA (677 nucleotides) under Streptomyces sp. RNAcentral describes it as "bacterial SSU rRNA". It matches the Rfam family "Bacterial small subunit ribosomal RNA", at positions 93 to 771 of the family's 1533-position model. Lineage: Bacteria; Bacillati; Actinomycetota; Actinomycetes; Kitasatosporales; Streptomycetaceae. The record is from RNAcentral.